AGUGAACGCUGGCGGUAGGCCUAACACAUGCAAGUCGAACGGCAGCACAGUAAGAGCUUGCUCUUACGGGUGGCGAGUGGCGGACGGGUGAGGAAUACAUCGGAAUCUACUUUUUCGUGGGGGAUAACGUAGGGAAACUUACGCUAAUACCGCAUACGACCUACGGGUGAAAGCAGGGGAUCUUCGGACCUUGCGCGAUUGAAUGAGCCGAUGUCGGAUUAGCUAGUUGGCGGGGUAAAGGCCCACCAAGGCGACGAUCCGUAGCUGGUCUGAGAGGAUGAUCAGCCAAACUGGAACUGAGACACGGUCCAGACUCCUACGGGAGGCAGCAGUGGGGAAUAUCGGACAAUGGGCGCAAGCCUGAUCCAGCCAUACCGCGUAGGUGAAGAAGGCCUUCGGGUUGUAAAGCCCUUUUGUUGGGAAAGAAAAGCAGCAGGUUAAUACCCCGCUGUUCUGACGGUACCCAAAGAAUAAGCACCGGCUAACUUCGU
Molecule: ribosomal RNA, 491 nt
Filed under: uncultured bacterium
Lineage: Bacteria
Description: partial 16S ribosomal RNA
Rfam family: Bacterial small subunit ribosomal RNA
Source: RNAcentral